This 125-nucleotide microRNA precursor is filed under the name Myotis brandtii (Brandt's bat). Its description in RNAcentral is "mir-9193 microRNA precursor family". The record is from Rfam by way of RNAcentral. Lineage: Eukaryota; Metazoa; Chordata; Mammalia; Chiroptera; Vespertilionidae.
CGUGCACCGGUGGGGUCCCUCAGCCUGGCCUGUGGGGAUCGGGUAGAAACUGGCUCUCCGACAUCCCGAGGGGUCCCGGAUUGCAAGAGGGUGCAGGCCAGGCCGAGGGACCCCACUGGUGCAUG